Molecule: long non-coding RNA, 991 nt
Organism: Chinchilla lanigera (long-tailed chinchilla)
Lineage: Eukaryota; Metazoa; Chordata; Mammalia; Rodentia; Chinchillidae
Exons: 3
Source: RefSeq, a predicted model, not a curated record
CGCGGGGCCAAGGCCUAGUGGAUGGUUGAUGGGGGCAGGGGAAGGGGCAGAGGGCCCACGCAGUACUGGGAGAGUCCCGUAGCUGAUCUCGCACGAGCCCUACCCCCUCAUCUUGGCAAUGGGAUCCUGGGAUUCCCUGAGAUGUUGGGGGCAACCAAGGUGAGGGUGAGGGUGAAGGUGAGAGUAAGGAGAGACUCCAAAAGGAAAAACAAAACAAAAUCACCCAUGGAUGUUGGAGGAAGACAUGGAGAGCAGAAGAAAUCCCGCGUUCAGUAUGGGGUCUUGCCAUGUUGCCCAGACUGACUUGAAAUUCUCGGAGCUCAAGAUGAAUGUCCUUACUGAGCCUCUCAGCUCAGUAGCUGGGAAUAGAGAAACAGCAAACUGGAUUAUUCAAGUUUUGUCUUCCCUCUUUGGAACUCCCAAAAGAAAAGAAAUCACAAGAACAAAUCUUGGCACAGAAAGAAAAUGAGACAAAGAAUGUAAUCAUAAUACUAGUGAAUGGCUUUCAGACCGACAUCUGUACAUUAAGAAUAUGUAAAAAUACCAAUUUCAUGCUCUGACAACUUAUUCUGCAUCAGGGGUGGGGUAAUGCCUUGGGAAUGCCAAAUGUCAAAGCAUUACAUAAUGUCAGCUAUUCAUGUGCUCCUUUGAUGAGAUAUCACUGAGAAUGGAAAUUCCUUAAGGGAAAAGUGUCUUAAAAGAGGGAGGGGAAAGCAUAAGAAAAGAAAGGAAAAGAAGAAAGAAGAGAUAAAGAGGAGACAGACUGCCCGAUGAGAAUAAAAGACUGACUAUCUAAAGAAAAGUGAAUGUAUAUAUUUUUGAAGAAUACAUAAAGUCCCAAAUCUAAUCUACCAUAUGGAAGAGUUAUUUACUUCUAUUUUAUUUUCUACAGUUGGAACUUCCAUGUUUAAUUACUUUUCCUUCACAUGUGCAACAGCACAAUUUUUGUCUGAGUCUUUAUAAUGUCAACAAAAAUCUAAGAGUAAAAAUU